This 468-nucleotide ribosomal RNA is filed under the name uncultured bacterium. RNAcentral describes it as "partial 16S ribosomal RNA". It matches the Rfam family "Bacterial small subunit ribosomal RNA", at positions 28 to 507 of the family's 1533-position model. The record is from RNAcentral.
GACGAACGCUGGCGGCGUGCUUAACACAUGCAAGUCGAACGGAAAGGCCCUGCUUUUGUGGGGUGCUCGAGUGGCGAACGGGUGAGUAACACGUGAGUAACCUGCCCUUGACUUUGGGAUAACUUCAGGAAACUGGGGCUAAUACCGGAUAGGAGCUCCUGCUGCAUGGUGGGGGUUGGAAAGUUUCGGCGGUUGGGGAUGGACUCGCGGCUUAUCAGCUUGUUGGUGGGGUAGUGGCUUACCAAGGCUUUGACGGGUAGCCGGCCUGAGAGGGUGACCGGCCACAUUGGGACUGAGAGACGGAGCAGACGCCUACGGGAGGCAGCAGGGGGGAAUAUUGCACAAUGGGCGGAAGCCUGAGGAAGCAACGCCGCGUGCGGGAUGACGGCCUUCGGGUUGGAAACCGCUUUCGCCUGUGACGAAGCGUGAGUGACGGUAAUGGGUAAAGAAGCACCGGCUAACUACGUG